This 509-nucleotide ribosomal RNA is filed under the name Pseudomonas putida. Its description in RNAcentral is "bacterial SSU rRNA". It matches the Rfam family "Bacterial small subunit ribosomal RNA", at positions 80 to 585 of the family's 1533-position model. Lineage: Bacteria; Pseudomonadati; Pseudomonadota; Gammaproteobacteria; Pseudomonadales; Pseudomonadaceae. The record is from RNAcentral.
UUGCUCCUUGAUUCAGCGGCGGACGGGUGAGUAAUGCCUAGGAAUCUGCCUGGUAGUGGGGGACAACGUUUCGAAAGGAACGCUAAUAGCGCAUACGUCCUACGGGAGAAAGCAGGGGACCUUCGGGCCUUGCGCUAUCAGAUGAGCCUAGGUCGGAUUAGCUAGUUGGUGGGGUAAUGGCUCACCAAGGCGACGAUCCGUAACUGGUCUGAGAGGAUGAUCAGUCACACUGGAACUGAGACACGGUCCAGACUCCUACGGGAGGCAGCAGUGGGGAAUAUUGGACAAUGGGCGAAAGCCUGAUCCAGCCAUGCCGCGUGUGUGAAGAAGGUCUUCGGAUUGUAAAGCACUUUAAGUUGGGAGGAAGGGCAGUAAGCUAAUACCUUGCUGUUUUGACGUUACCGACAGAAUAAGCACCGGCUAACUCUGUGCCAGCAGCCGCGGUAAUACAGAGGGUGCAAGCGUUAAUCGGAAUUACUGGGCGUAAAGCGCGCGUAGGUGGUUUGUUA